UACGGGGGGGGCAAGCGUUGUCCGGAUUUACUGGGCGUAAAGGGCGUGCAGGCGGUUUGUUAAGUCUAGGGUGAAAGCUCCCGGCUCAACUGGGAGAGGUCCUUGGAUACUGGCAGACUUGAGGAGGGUAGAGGAGAGUGGAAUUCCCGGUGUAGUGGUGAUAUGCGUAGAUAUCGGGAGGAACACCAGUGGCGAAGGCGGCUCUCUGGGCCCUACCUGACGCUGAGACGCGAAAGCGUGGGGAGCGAACCGG
Molecule: ribosomal RNA, 253 nt
Filed under: uncultured bacterium
Lineage: Bacteria
Description: partial 16S ribosomal RNA
Rfam family: Bacterial small subunit ribosomal RNA
Source: RNAcentral